UACGAAGGGGGCUAGCGUUGCUCGGAAUCACUGGGCGUAAAGGGUGCGUAGGCGGGUCUUUAAGUCAGGGGUGAAAUCCUGGAGCUCAACUCCAGAACUGCCUUUGAUACUGAAGAUCUUGAGUUCGGGAGAGGUGAGUGGAACUGCGAGUGUAGAGGUGAAAUUCGUAGAUAUUCGCAAGAACACCAGUGGCGAAGGCGGCUCACUGGCUCAUUACUGACGCUCAGGCGCGAUAGCGUGGGGAUCAAACAGG
This 253-nucleotide ribosomal RNA is filed under the name uncultured bacterium. RNAcentral's name for it is "partial 16S ribosomal RNA". It matches the Rfam family "Bacterial small subunit ribosomal RNA", at positions 524 to 776 of the family's 1533-position model. The record is from RNAcentral.